GGGGGAUAUUGCACAAUGGAGGAAACUCUGAUGCAGCGACGCCGCGUGAGGGAAGAAGGUUUUCGGAUUGUAAACCUCUGUCUUCGGGGACGAAACAAAUGACGGUAACCGGAGAAGAAGCCCCGGCUAACUUCGUGCCAGCAGCCGCGGUAAUACGAAGGGGGCUAGCGUUGCUCGGAAUCACUGGGCGUAAAGCGCACGUAGGCGGAUCGUUAAGUCAGGGGUGAAAUCCUGGGGCUCAACCUCAGAACUGCCCUUGAUACUGGCGAUCUCGAGUUCGAGAGAGGUGGGUGGAACUCCGAGUGUAGAGGUGAAAUUCGUAGAUAUUCGGAAGAACACCAGUGGCGAAGGCGGCCAACUGGCUCGAUACUGACGCUGAGGUGCGCAAGCGUGGGGAGCAAACA
RNAcentral lists this ribosomal RNA (404 nucleotides) under uncultured Xanthobacteraceae bacterium. RNAcentral describes it as "bacterial SSU rRNA". It matches the Rfam family "Bacterial small subunit ribosomal RNA", at positions 356 to 774 of the family's 1533-position model. The record is from RNAcentral. Lineage: Bacteria; Pseudomonadati; Pseudomonadota; Alphaproteobacteria; Hyphomicrobiales; Xanthobacteraceae.